CCCUUAGAUGUUCUGGGCCGCACGCGCGCUACACUGAGUGGAUCAGCGGGUCAGGUUGCGCGAAAGUGUUUCCUAAUCUUGAAAUCCGCUCGUGAUGGGGAUUGACGGUUGCAAUUUUCUGUCAUGAACGAGGAAUACCUUGUAAGCGCGGGUCAUCAUCCCGCGCUGAAUACGUCCCUGCCCUUUGUACACACCGCCCGUCGCUCCUACCGAUUGAGUGGUCCGGUGAGGCUUUGGGAUCUGGAUGGAAAGAGCGUUUCGCUGUUUCUGCCCGGAAAACUCAGUCGAACCUUAUCAUUUAGAGGAAGGAGAAGUCGUAACA
This 322-nucleotide ribosomal RNA is filed under the name uncultured eukaryote. RNAcentral's name for it is "partial 18S ribosomal RNA". It matches the Rfam family "Eukaryotic small subunit ribosomal RNA", at positions 1470 to 1796 of the family's 1831-position model. The record is from RNAcentral.